Molecule: transfer RNA, 69 nt
Filed under: Alobaldia tobae
Lineage: Eukaryota; Metazoa; Arthropoda; Insecta; Hemiptera; Cicadellidae
Description: tRNA-Asp
Source: RNAcentral
AAAGGAAAUAGUUUAAUAAAAAUUUAAAUUUGUCAAAUUUAAGAUGUUUAGUCAUUUAAGCUUUUCUUA